RNAcentral lists this non-coding RNA (31 nucleotides) under Homo sapiens (human). Lineage: Eukaryota; Metazoa; Chordata; Mammalia; Primates; Hominidae. The record is from RNAcentral.
UCUUGGCUCCUGGCCGAUACCUUAGUGCUUC